GCUUCGGUAGCCCAACUGGCAGAGGCAUAUGUUUCAGGAGCAUACCAGUGCGGGUUCGACUCCCGCCCGAAGCA
RNAcentral lists this transfer RNA (74 nucleotides) under Bacteroidota bacterium. RNAcentral describes it as "tRNA-Leu". It matches the Rfam family "tRNA". From Rfam's summary of the family: Transfer RNA (tRNA) molecules are approximately 80 nucleotides in length. Their secondary structure includes four short double-helical elements and three loops (D, anti-codon, and T loops). RNAcentral also lists the same sequence under 2 other names. The record is from RNAcentral. Lineage: Bacteria; Pseudomonadati; Bacteroidota.